GUACUUUUGUAUCACGGUGAGAACAGCAGAAAAGAAAUAAAGAGAAAAUAAGGACACGACAAGGGCCCUUGGCUAUUGGCCAUUGCCGGUUGCCACUGCCAGUUGACACCGGCGGCCUUCAAUCACGGCGAGCAGCCCAGCCGGCCAGUCGUCGCGCCUCCUGAUCAUAGCUCAAUGGUACGUGUCAGUCUCUGCUACCGCUGUUCCUGAGGCCGGCGGCGCGGUUCCUGGGGCCGUUCCUGGCGGGCCGGCCGGCGGAGGCGGCGGCCACGCUGCUGCACCGCGCCGGCGUGCUCCCGAUGAACAGGGCUCUGGAGCGGCUCGUCAGGGACGACGGCGGCGCCGAGGACUGCAUCGCGCGUCUCGUCGUCAGCGUGCUCAGCUGCCUCCGCUAGGGAACCGGUUUAGCAUGUUGAUACACUGUGGUUUGGGGAUUGAUGUUCUCCACUACUACUACAGGUUUAGCAUGAAGGACUGAAGCUAGCGAGGGAAACAGGAUGCCAUAAUGUGAUAGUAAGAUCGGACAAUAUCACGGUGGUGGAGGCACUCAAAUUCAAUGGUGGCUACUCCAUGGUGGCAGCACCGUUAUUUGAUGAAUGUCGUAGUUUUCUCGAAGACUUUAGGAGGUUUACUAUCGAGCAUUGUAUUAGAGAGUUAAAUAGCGUAGCUCAUGAGCUAGCAAGAUGGGGUAGUGCUAUUAAUCCAUCUCGCUGGAUUGACGCCCCGCCUGAUUUCAUUGUAAAUCUUUUGGCAGACGAUGUUUCUAUUCUUUGAUUAAUAAAGUAAACUUUCCUGUAAAAAAACAGGUUU
Molecule: long non-coding RNA, 810 nt
Organism: Triticum aestivum (bread wheat)
Lineage: Eukaryota; Viridiplantae; Streptophyta; Magnoliopsida; Poales; Poaceae
Exons: 2
Source: RefSeq, a predicted model, not a curated record